This 473-nucleotide ribosomal RNA is filed under the name Comamonadaceae bacterium. RNAcentral describes it as "bacterial SSU rRNA". It matches the Rfam family "Bacterial small subunit ribosomal RNA", at positions 391 to 857 of the family's 1533-position model. Lineage: Bacteria; Pseudomonadati; Pseudomonadota; Betaproteobacteria; Burkholderiales; Comamonadaceae. The record is from RNAcentral.
GCAAUGCCGCGUGCAGGAUGAAGGCCUUCGGGUUGUAAACUGCUUUUGUACGGAACGAAAAGGUCUGCCCUAAUACGGUGGGCUCAUGACGGUACCGUAAGAAUAAGCACCGGCUAACUACGUGCCAGCAGCCGCGGUAAUACGUAGGGUGCGAGCGUUAAUCGGAAUUACUGGGCGUAAAGCGUGCGCAGGCGGUUAUAUAAGACAGAUGUGAAAUCCCCGGGCUCAACCUGGGACCUGCAUUUGUGACUGUAUAGCUAGAGUACGGUAGAGGGGGAUGGAAUUCCGCGUGUAGCAGUGAAAUGCGUAGAUAUGCGGAGGAACACCGAUGGCGAAGGCAAUCCCCUGGACCUGUACUGACGCUCAUGCACGAAAGCGUGGGGAGCAAACAGGAUUAGAUACCCUGGUAGUCCACGCCCUAAACGAUGUCAACUGGUUGUUGGGUCUUCACUGACUCAGUAACGAAGCUAACG